AGUGAACGCUGGCGGUAGGCCUAACACAUGCAAGUCGAACGGCAGCACAGUAAGAGCUUGCUCUUACGGGUGGCGAGUGGCGGACGGGUGAGGAAUACAUCGGAAUCUACUUUUUCGUGGGGGAUAACGUAGGGAAACUUACGCUAAUACCGCAUACGACCUACGGGUGAAAGCAGGGGAUCUUCUGACCUUGCGCGAUUGAAUGAGCCGAUGUCGGAUUAGCUAGUUGGCGGGGUAAAGGCCCACCAAGGCGACGAUCCGUAGCUGGUCUGAGAGGAUGAUCAGCCACACUGUAUCUGAGACACGGUCCAGACUCCUACGGGAGGCAGCAGUGGGGAACAUUGGACAAUGGGCGCAAGCCUGAUCCAGCCAUACCGCGUGGGUGAAGAAGGCCUUCGGGUUGUAAAGCCCUUUUGUUGGGAAAGAAAAGCAGCAGGUUAAUACCCCGCUGUUCUGACGGUACCCAAAGAAUAAGCACCGGCUAACUUCGUG
RNAcentral lists this ribosomal RNA (492 nucleotides) under uncultured bacterium. Its description in RNAcentral is "partial 16S ribosomal RNA". It matches the Rfam family "Bacterial small subunit ribosomal RNA", at positions 29 to 507 of the family's 1533-position model. The record is from RNAcentral.